This 253-nucleotide ribosomal RNA is filed under the name uncultured prokaryote. RNAcentral's name for it is "partial 16S ribosomal RNA". It matches the Rfam family "Bacterial small subunit ribosomal RNA", at positions 524 to 776 of the family's 1533-position model. The record is from RNAcentral.
UACGGAGGGUCCAAGCGUUAUCCGGAUUCAUUGGGUUUAAAGGGUGCGCAGGCGGAACUUUAAGUCAGUGGUGAAAUCUUGCCGCUCAACGGUAAAAUUGCCAUUGAUACUGAAGUUCUUGAAUAUGGUUGAGGUAGGCGGAAUGUGUCGUGUAGCGGUGAAAUGCAUAGAUAUGACACAGAACACCGAUUGCGAAGGCAGCUUACUAAGCCAUUAUUGACGCUGAGGCACGAAAGCGUGGGGAGCGAACAGG